Molecule: non-coding RNA, 82 nt
Organism: Dermacentor albipictus
Lineage: Eukaryota; Metazoa; Arthropoda; Arachnida; Ixodida; Ixodidae
Source: the annotation of a RefSeq genome assembly
GCAGUCCUGGCCGAGCAGUUAAAGCGUUAGACUAGAAAUCUAUUGGGGUCUACCCGCACAGGUUCGAAUCCUGUCGACUGCG